GACGAACGCUGGCGGCGUGCUUAACACAUGCAAGUCGAACGAAGAGCGACGGAAGCUUGCUUCUAUCAAUCUUAGUGGCGAACGGGUGAGUAACGCGUAAUCAACCUGCCCUUCAGAGGGGGACAACAGUUGGAAACGACUGCUAAUACCGCAUACGAUCUAAUCUCGGCAUCGAGGAUGGAUGAAAGGUGGCCUCUACAUGUAAGCUAUCACUGAAGGAGGGGAUUGCGUCUGAUUAGCUAGUUGGAGGGGUAACGGCCCACCAAGGCGAUGAUCAGUAGCCGGUCUGAGAGGAUGAACGGCCACAUUGGGACUGAGACACGGCCCAGACUCCUACGGGAGGCAGUAGUGGGGAAUCUUCCGCAAUGGACGAAAGUCUGACGGAGCAACGCCGCGUGAGUGAUGACGGCCUUCGGGUUGUAAAGCUCUGUUAAUCGGGACGAAAGGCCUUCUUGCGAAUAGUGAGAAGGAUUGACGGUACCGGAAUAGAAAGCCACGGCUAACUACGUG
Molecule: ribosomal RNA, 510 nt
Filed under: uncultured bacterium
Lineage: Bacteria
Description: partial 16S ribosomal RNA
Rfam family: Bacterial small subunit ribosomal RNA
Source: RNAcentral